This 305-nucleotide ribosomal RNA is filed under the name uncultured bacterium. Its description in RNAcentral is "bacterial SSU rRNA". It matches the Rfam family "Bacterial small subunit ribosomal RNA", at positions 339 to 641 of the family's 1533-position model. The record is from RNAcentral.
CUACGGGAGGCAGCAGUGAGGAAUAUUGGUCAAUGGGCUUACGCCUGAACCAGCCAAGUCGCGUGAGGGAAGACUGCCCUAUGGGUUGUAAACCUCUUUUGUCAGGGAGCAACGCCGGCUACGUGUAGCCGGACUGAGAGUACCUGAAGAAAAAGCAUCGGCUAACUCCGUGCCAGCAGCCGCGGUAAUACGGAGGAUGCGAGCGUUAUCCGGAUUUAUUGGGUUUAAAGGGUGCGUAGGCGGAAUGCCAAGUCAGCGGUAAAAUCGCGGGGCCCAACCUCGCUCCGCCGUUGAAACUGGCGUUC